Oryctolagus cuniculus (rabbit) is the source of this 99-nucleotide small nuclear RNA. Lineage: Eukaryota; Metazoa; Chordata; Mammalia; Lagomorpha; Leporidae. The record is from Ensembl.
GUGGCUGCAGCAUGUAUUCUAAAGUUGGAAUUGUUCAAGGAAGAUUAGCAUGGUUCCUGCACAAGGAAGACACAAAUUUGAGAAAUGUUCCAUAUUUUG